This 252-nucleotide ribosomal RNA is filed under the name uncultured Bacteroidales bacterium. RNAcentral describes it as "partial 16S ribosomal RNA". It matches the Rfam family "Bacterial small subunit ribosomal RNA", at positions 524 to 776 of the family's 1533-position model. The record is from RNAcentral. Lineage: Bacteria; Pseudomonadati; Bacteroidota; Bacteroidia; Bacteroidales.
UACGGAGGAUGCGAGCGAUAUCCGGAUUUAUUGGGUAUAAAGGGUGCGCAGGCGGUCUGUUAAGUCAGCGGUCAAAGCCCGGGGCUCAACCCCGGCCCGCCGUUGAAACUGGCUGUCUUGAGAUGUCGAGAGGUAUGCGGAAUGCGUGGUGUAGCGGUGAAAUGCAUAGAUAUCACGCAGAACCCCGAUUGCGAAGGCAGCAUACCGGCGCCCGACUGACGCUGAAGCACGAAAGCGUGGGUAUCGAACAGG